GCCCAAGAGAUCGGGAUAACACCUGGAAACAGAUGCUAAUACCGGAUAACAACAGAUGAUGCCUAUCAACUGUUUAAAAGAUGGUUCUGCUAUCACUCUUGGAUGGACCUGCGGUGCAUUAGCUAGUUGGUAGGGUAACGGCCUACAAAGGCGAUGAUGCAUAGCCGAGUUGAGAGACUGAUCGGCCACAUUGGGACUGAGACACGGCCCAAACUCCUACGGGAGGCAGCAGCC
This 234-nucleotide ribosomal RNA is filed under the name uncultured Lactobacillus sp. RNAcentral describes it as "partial 16S ribosomal RNA". It matches the Rfam family "Bacterial small subunit ribosomal RNA", at positions 128 to 355 of the family's 1533-position model. The record is from RNAcentral. Lineage: Bacteria; Bacillati; Bacillota; Bacilli; Lactobacillales; Lactobacillaceae.